CGUGUAGGCGGGUAAAUAAGUCAGAAGUGAAAUCCAAUAGCUCAACUAUUGAACUGCUUUUGAAACUGUAUACCUAGAAUGUGGGAGAGGCAGAUGGAAUUUCUGGUGUAGGGGUAAAAUCCGUAGAGAUCAGAAGGAAUACCGAUUGCGAAGGCGAUCUGCUGGAACAUUAUUGACGCUGAGACGCGAAAGCGUGGGGAGCAAACA
This 207-nucleotide ribosomal RNA is filed under the name uncultured bacterium. RNAcentral describes it as "partial 16S ribosomal RNA". It matches the Rfam family "Bacterial small subunit ribosomal RNA", at positions 568 to 774 of the family's 1533-position model. RNAcentral also lists the same sequence under 1 other name. The record is from RNAcentral.